AGCUUUGCGCAAUGGCAGUAUCGUAGCCAAUGAGGUUUAUCCGAGGCGCGAUUAUUGCUAAUUAAAACGUUAUCCCCUUUGGUCAUUGUUGUUCUAGAGCCCUUUUAUGCCUUAAUAUAUGAUAUUUAAAUGU
Molecule: small nuclear RNA, 133 nt
Filed under: Neogale vison (American mink)
Lineage: Eukaryota; Metazoa; Chordata; Mammalia; Carnivora; Mustelidae
Description: Neovison vison (American mink) U4 spliceosomal RNA (ENSNVIG00000000442.1)
Rfam family: U4 spliceosomal RNA
About the family: U4 small nuclear RNA (U4 snRNA) is a component of the major U2-dependent spliceosome.
Source: RNAcentral